This 929-nucleotide long non-coding RNA is filed under the name Homo sapiens (human). RNAcentral describes it as "HSALNT0298162". The record is from RNAcentral. Lineage: Eukaryota; Metazoa; Chordata; Mammalia; Primates; Hominidae.
GGCGGGGGAGGAAAGCGGCCGGCGAGCGCUGGCUGACAUUUUCCUGCCCGGAAGGAUGCAUGGCCCGGGGUCUCCUGCACCUGAGGGUGGGCGGGAGGCGGCCCCGCGGGUUGUGUUGCUGGAAAAAGGGGUCUCGAUCCAGACCCCAAGAGAGGGUUCUUGGGUCUACUUCAGGGAAGAAUUGGAGGCGAGUCACAGAGCGCAGUGAAGGAAGCAAGUUUAUUGGAAUCUACUCCGUUAGAGAGUGCAAGUCCUCAGACUGCAGGAGGAGGAACUCCCGUCCUUCGGUAGUGUCACUACUUAGAGGCAGCUGUGAGGAGCUGUGAUUAAUCGUGGAAUGUGCUGAUGUGCCCACUAAAGAUGCCUGGUAAGCAGUGGCUCCUCUAACAAGUGGGCAGCUUGGAACUGGGAACGAGAGAGCCACCGAAACAGAAUGAGGGAGACAAAGAAGUGGGCAUCACCCUUAACUCCACAAGGGCUUCCCAAGGGCGCUGUACCGUACGCAGGCCCAGGACGAACUUUAUUUCUCGCCCCAGCAUCGCUGUCCUUGUCGGUGAGACCCUGGCUUUAGGGCAGACAGGACCACGUUUCAUAAGUUCAUGCUGUCCCAGCAGAGGAAUAACGCCAGAAAGUGUUCCAGUACAACCAGAGAAAGAGAGUCCAUGAGAAAUCUGCCCUUGUGAAGUUGGAAUCCCCUCAACCUCACCCCGCUGACUUGAAUGAAGCGACUGAGACGGGCUAUGAUGGAGCAGAUCCGGUUGCUCGACCUUCUCCCUUGCACCAACACAUGUAGUUAAUAGUUACUGGACAUGCAUAUUCAGUGGGUUCCAGGUACCAAACUUGUAUUGAAUGGUAUGUGCCAGACACCGUCUUGAGAUCUGGAGAAUAAAAAAAUAAAAAAAUAAAAACGAGACAUCCAGAGCACAGUA